AGACGAAGGACCCAAGCGUUAUCCGGAUUUAUUGGGUUUAAAGGGUGCGUAGGCGGGUUGUUAAGUCAGUGGUGAAAGCCUAGAGCUUAACUCUAGAAUUGCCAUUGAUACUGACGAUCUUGAGGAUAGUUGAGGUGGGCGGAAUGUAUCAUGUAGCGGUGAAAUGCUUAGAGAUGAUACAGAACACCGAUUGCGAAGGCAGCUCACUAAGCUAUUUCUGACGCUGAGGCACGAAAGCGUGGGGAUCAAACAGGAUUAGAUACCCUGGUAGUCCACGCCCUAAACGAUGAUUACUCGAUGUGUGCGAUAUACUGUACGCGUCUAAGCGAAAGCAUUAAGUAAUCCACCUGGGGAGUACGACCGCAAGGUUGAA
This 373-nucleotide ribosomal RNA is filed under the name uncultured bacterium. Its description in RNAcentral is "bacterial SSU rRNA". It matches the Rfam family "Bacterial small subunit ribosomal RNA", at positions 523 to 898 of the family's 1533-position model. The record is from RNAcentral.